AGUGAACGCUGGCGGUAGGCCUAACACAUGCAAGUCGAACGGCAGCACAGUAAGAGCUUGCUCUUACGGGUGGCGAGUGGCGGACGGGUGAGGAAUACAUCGGAAUCUACUUUUUCGUGGGGGAUAACGUAGGGAAACUUACGCUAAUACCGCAUACGACCUACGGGUGAAAGCAGGGGAUCUUCGGACCUUGCGCGAUUGAAUGAGCCGAUGUCGGAUUAGCUAGUUGGCGGGGUAAAGGCCCACCAAGGCGACGAUCCGUAGCUGGUCUGAGAGGAUGAUCAGCCACACUGGAACUGAGACACGGUCCAGACUCCUACGGGAGGCAGCAGUGGGGAAUAUUGGACAAUGGGCGCAAGCCUGAUCCAGCCAUACCGCGUGGGUGAAGAAGGCCUUCGGGUUGUAAAGCCCUUUGUUGGGAAAGAAAAGCAGCAGGUUAAUACCACGCUGUUCUGACGGUACCCAAAGAAUAAGCACCGGCUAACUUCGUG
This 491-nucleotide ribosomal RNA is filed under the name uncultured bacterium. Its description in RNAcentral is "partial 16S ribosomal RNA". It matches the Rfam family "Bacterial small subunit ribosomal RNA", at positions 29 to 507 of the family's 1533-position model. The record is from RNAcentral.